Molecule: ribosomal RNA, 346 nt
Filed under: uncultured bacterium
Lineage: Bacteria
Description: bacterial SSU rRNA
Rfam family: Bacterial small subunit ribosomal RNA
Source: RNAcentral
AGAGUUUGAUCCUGGCUCAGGAUGAACGCUAGCUACAGGCUUAACACAUGCAAGUCGAGGGGCAGCAUGGUCUUAGCUUGCUAAGGCCGAUGGCGACCGGCGCACGGGUGAGUAACGCGUAUCCAACCUGCCUUACACUCUUGGACAGCCUUCUGAAAGGGAGAUUAAUACAAGAUGUUAUCAUGAGUAAGCAUUUUCGCAUGAUUAAAGGUUACCGGUGUAAGAUGGGGAUGCGUUCCAUUAGAUAGUAGGCGGGUAACGGCCACCUAGUCUUCGAUGGAUAGGGGUUCUGAGAGGAAGGUCCCCCANAUUGGAACUGAGACACGGUCCAAACCCUCGGGAGGCA